This 125-nucleotide microRNA precursor is filed under the name Hordeum vulgare. Its description in RNAcentral is "microRNA MIR1122". It matches the Rfam family "MIR1120/MIR1122 microRNA precursor family". Lineage: Eukaryota; Viridiplantae; Streptophyta; Magnoliopsida; Poales; Poaceae. The record is from RNAcentral.
UUACUACUCCCUCCGUCCGGAAAUAUUUGUCGAAAAAAUGAAUGUAUCUAGACGUAUUUUAGUUCUAGAUACAUCCAUUUUUAUCCAUUUCUUUGACAAGUAUUUCCGGACGGAGGGAGUAGAUC